RNAcentral lists this ribosomal RNA (800 nucleotides) under uncultured bacterium. RNAcentral describes it as "bacterial SSU rRNA". It matches the Rfam family "Bacterial small subunit ribosomal RNA", at positions 8 to 820 of the family's 1533-position model. The record is from RNAcentral.
AGAGUUUGAUCCUGGCUCAGAAUCAACGCUGGCGGCGUGCCUCAGACAUGCAAGUCGAACGAUUAAAGCUCUCUUCGGAGAGUGCAUAAAGUGGCGCACGGGUGAGUAACACGUAAGUAAUCUACCCUCGGGUGGGGAAUAACAUCGGGAAACCGAUGCUAAUACCGCAUAAUGCAGCGGCACCGCAAGGUGACAGUUGUUAAAGGAGUAAUUCGCCUGAGGAGGAGCUUGCGGCAGAUUAGCUAGUUGGUAAGGUAAUGGCUUACCAAGGCUACGAUCUGUAACCGGUCUAAGAGGACGGUCGGUCACACUGGCACUGAAUAACGGGUCAGACUCCUACGGGAGGCAGCAGUCGGGAAUUUUGGGCAAUGGGCGAAAGCCUGACCCAGCAACGCCGCGUGAAGGAUGAAGUAUUUCGGUAUGUAAACUUCGUAAGAAUAGGAAGAAUAAAUGACGGUACUAUUUGUAAGGUCCGGCUAACUACGUGCCAGCAGCCGCGGUAAUACGUAGGGACCAAGCGUUGUUCGGAUUUACUGGGCGUAAAGGGCGCGUAGGCGGCAAUUCAAGUCAGCUGUGAAAUCUCCGGGCUUAACUCGGAACGGUCAGCUGAUACUGCUUUGCUAGAGUGCAGAAGGGGCAAUCGGAAUUCUUGGUGUAGCGGUGAAAUGCGUAGAUAUCAAGAGGAACACCUGAGGUGAAGACGGGUUGCUGGGCUGACACUGACGCUGAGGCGCGAAAGCUAGGGGAGCAAACGGGAUUAGAUACCCCGGUAGUCCUAGCCCUAAACGAUGAAUACUUGG